GCGAGACACGUGGGCCGGUGGCGGAGCGCGACCGAUAAAACUGUUCUCGGACGGCGCCGGGGCGCAGCUCCCGGGCCGUCCGCCAAUGAUCAGCCAGCAGCCGCUGCAACCCCAGGGAG
This 119-nucleotide small RNA is filed under the name unclassified sequences. Its description in RNAcentral is "Streptomyces-metK RNA". It matches the Rfam family "Streptomyces-metK RNA". The record is from Rfam by way of RNAcentral.